Molecule: ribosomal RNA, 385 nt
Filed under: uncultured Prevotella sp.
Lineage: Bacteria; Pseudomonadati; Bacteroidota; Bacteroidia; Bacteroidales; Prevotellaceae
Description: bacterial SSU rRNA
Rfam family: Bacterial small subunit ribosomal RNA
Source: RNAcentral
UGAGGAAUAUUGGUCAAUGGGCGCGAGCCUGAACCAGCCAAGUAGCGUGCAGGAUGACGGCCCUAUGGGUUGUAAACUGCUUUUAUGCGGGGAUAAAGUGAGGGACGCGUCCCUUUUUGCAGGUACCGCAUGAAUAAGGACCGGCUAAUUCCGUGCCAGCAGCCGCGGUAAUACGGAAGGUCCGGGCGUUAUCCGGAUUUAUUGGGUUUAAAGGGAGCGUAGGCCGCUGUUUAAGCGUGUUGUGAAAACCGGGGCUCAACUCCGGUCGUGCAGCGCGAACUGGACGGCUUGAGUGCGCGGUAAGUGGGCGGAAUUUGUGGUGUAGCGGUGAAAUGCUUAGAUAUCACGAAGAACUCCGAUUGCGAAGGCAGCUCACUGUAGCGCA